AAUAGAUACCCUGGUAGUCCACGCCGUAAACGAUGAGUGCUAAGUGUUAGAGGGUUUCCGCCCUUUAGUGCUGCAGCUAACGCAUUAAGCACUCCGCCUGGGGAGUACGGCCGCAAGGCUGAAACUCAAAGGAAUUGACGGGGGCCCGCACAAGCGGUGGAGCAUGUGGUUUAAUUCGAAGCAACGCGAAGAACCUUACCAGGUCUUGACAUCCUUUGCCAACCCUAGAGAUAGGGCGUUCCCCUUCGGGGGACAGAGUGACAGGUGGUGCAUGGUUGUCGUCAGCUCGUGUCGUGAGAUGUUGGGUUAAGUCCCGCAACGAGCGCAACCCUUGAUCUUAGUUGCCAGCAUCCAGUUGGGCACUCUAAGGUGACUGCCGGUGACAAACCGGAGGAAGGUGGGGAUGACGUCAAAUCAUCAUGCCCCUUAUGACCUGGGCUACACACGUGCUACAAUGGAUGGUACAAAGAGCUGCGAACCCGCGAGGGUAAGCGAAUCUCAUAAAGCCAUUCUCAGUUCGGA
Molecule: ribosomal RNA, 522 nt
Filed under: uncultured bacterium
Lineage: Bacteria
Description: bacterial SSU rRNA
Rfam family: Bacterial small subunit ribosomal RNA
Source: RNAcentral